This 133-nucleotide ribosomal RNA is filed under the name uncultured bacterium. Its description in RNAcentral is "partial 16S ribosomal RNA". It matches the Rfam family "Bacterial small subunit ribosomal RNA", at positions 356 to 504 of the family's 1533-position model. The record is from RNAcentral.
GGGGAAUAUUGCGCAAUGGGGGAAACCCUGACGCAGCCACGCCGCGUGAGUGAUGAAGGCCCUAGGGUCGUAAAGCUCUGUCGUGAGGGACGAAGUUCUGACGGUACCUCACAAGAAAGCGCCGGCCAACUCC